UAAAGGAGAGAUCCGGCAUAGGAUGGACAUGCGUCGCAUUAGGUAGACGGCGGGGUAACGGCCCACCGUGCCGACGAUGCGUAGGGGUUCUGAGAGGAAGGCCCCCCACACUGGUACUGAGACACGGACCAGACUCCUACGGGAGGCAGCAGUGAGGAAUAUUGGUCAAUGGCCGAGAGGCUGAACCAGCCAAGUCGCGUGAGGGAAGAAUGUCCUAAGGAUUGUAAACCUCUUUUGUCGGGGAGCAAAAAGGCUCUGCGGAGUCGUAUUGAGAGUACCCGAAGAAAAAGCAUCGGCUAACUCCGUGCCAGCAGCCGCGGUAAUACGGAGGAUGCGAGCGUUAUCCGGAUUUAUUGGGUUUAAAGGGUGCGCAGGCGGCGUGUCAAGCAAGCGGUAAAAUAGCGGGGCUCAACCCCGUCGAGCCGUUUGAACUGGCGCGCUUGAGUUCAGGCGAGGUAGGCGGAAUUCGUGGUGUAGCGGUGAAAUGCAUAGAUAUCACGAAGAACUCCGAUUGCGAAGGCAGCUUACCAGUCUGCGACUGACGCUCAGGCACGAAAGUGUGGGUAUCGAACAGGAUUAGAUACCCUGGUAGUCCACACAGUAAACGAUGAGCGGUAGGUGUCCGGGUCGCAUGAGACUUGG
RNAcentral lists this ribosomal RNA (642 nucleotides) under uncultured bacterium. RNAcentral's name for it is "bacterial SSU rRNA". It matches the Rfam family "Bacterial small subunit ribosomal RNA", at positions 202 to 842 of the family's 1533-position model. The record is from RNAcentral.